This 287-nucleotide unclassified non-coding RNA is filed under the name Hevea brasiliensis (rubber tree). The record is from RNAcentral. Lineage: Eukaryota; Viridiplantae; Streptophyta; Magnoliopsida; Malpighiales; Euphorbiaceae.
GAAAAAUUAAUAACUAAGAAAAAUGUUGAAACUCCAUGGCAUUUGAUUAAUAUAAGUCUGACACUAAUUCUGAAGCUGUACAAUUCACCAAGAUCAUCUUUUCCUACAAACAAAAACUGGUGGUAAUAGUCCAGCAAAAUGGUGACUACAACAUGCAGCUUGAGAAUUGAUGUACAAGAAUCCCAAAAGAAAAUCCUAAACAUGAACACUAAGUCUUGUCUACAGAACUCCUACAGUAUGCUGCAGUCUAACCCACACAAAGUCAUAGAUCUAAUUGAAAAGCUUAC